This 273-nucleotide ribosomal RNA is filed under the name uncultured bacterium. RNAcentral describes it as "partial 16S ribosomal RNA". It matches the Rfam family "Bacterial small subunit ribosomal RNA", at positions 524 to 796 of the family's 1533-position model. The record is from RNAcentral.
UACGUAGGGUGCGAGCGUUAAUCGGAAUUACUGGGCGUAAAGCGUGCGCAGGCGGCUUUUUAAGACAGGUGUGAAAUCCCCGGGCUUAACCUGGGAAUGGCGCUUGUGACUGGAAGGCUAGAGUGCGGCAGAGGGGGAUGGAAUUCCUGGUGUAGCAGUGAAAUGCGUAGAUAUCAGGAGGAACACCGAUGGCGAAGGCAGUCCCCUGGGUCGACACUGACGCUCAGGCACGAAAGCGUGGGGAGCAAACAGGAUUAGAUACCCCGGUAGUCC